GAAGGGUUUGCUGAAUGUGUAGCAGAGCUGCCCCCAAUGAAUGAUGGAGGGAGGGUUCCACCCUCCCAGCUGAGACAAGCUAUUGCAUCAGGCGCCGCUCGUGCAGGAGGAGAAACCCGUGUGUCGUUUAUUACAAGGUCAUCGAUCCCAACCUGCCUGCUGUUUACUAUAAGGUCAUCAUCGCCAGCGCUGGGGCUCUCCCCGCCUGGACGUGGGAAUCCCUCUGACACAGCCUUUUCCUCGUCUUCCCCAGGCCCUGCCCCGGGAGAAGCCGGCCUGCGCACACCGCGGAGUCCUCCAGCGCAGGAACCCUCCCUCCCUCCCUCCGGCAAAAUCAAGUUUCAGAAAGUUCCAUUCGGAGGGCCGGCUUCGCCAGGAACCCGGCAGCAUGCACAGUUUCCCGGGCUCGCUCACUCCCAAGGGCCCUUUCGGAACCCGACAGAGAGAAGGACCAAGAACUCCCAUCGUUAUCAGAAAGGGGCCCCGUCAACACCUCCCACACCCACGUUCCAACUUUUUUUCCCCUUAUAAUCUUCUCGGCCUGUCAUUCGGCUAAGCAAGGAAUGCAGGAAGAUGUCCAGGAGGACACACGCUGGAGAUUAAAGGCAGGAACCGGCAGCCCCGGCUGACCAGGCAGCUCUCCCCCGGGGCGCACAAAGCCCGCAGCCCAGGGUCAUCAAACACCAAGUCGUGUAGGGACUUAAGAGUCAGUGCUGCUCCAGCUCAGCCGUCCCUCAGAGGAAGAAACAGGCUGGAGAGUUACAGGGAACAGACACCAGCCCAGCCAAUGCAUCGACACCCAGCUUUCCUUUCUCCAUCCACCUUCCACAUGUUCCUGAUGUAGCCACCAUCACAUCUCUCCUCCACCUGGCCCUGGAUUCCAGCUGGACCAAGAACCUUUUCAGACCCAGUUAGGAGUCUGAAUGCUUGGACAUCUUAAUUCCAGGAUAACCUACUGUGGAUCCUGGAGUCAAAGGAGCAAUAGAACACCAGACUCUGUAUUGAGGGAGCUGCUCUGGACUUUCCAUGUCUCUCGGGGGCCUCAAGUUUCCUGGAAAGAGAGUCUAUGUUUACCAAUCAUGAGGAAAAAACUAAAAUGCAUUAGCUAACAAAGGCUAAUGUCAACUAUUUUGAUUUUGCUUUCUAUAGAAGAAAUGUCGGAGAGGCAUCAUGCUUGAGUUUAUCCUCCCAAGAGAAUGAAUGUCUGACUUCACUCACUCAACAUGAAGAUCAAAGGAGCCAAAUGCUAGCACAGCCAAGUGUGAUCACCGCUAACCCUACACUCUUUACCAUGGGAAAACCCAGCCACCCUGUCCACCAUGGGUUUCAAAUUAAAAUAUGACCCAUCUCUGGAAAUGUCUAUUUCUUUUUUAUAAACUAUCCAUAUUCUCUAGGUUCUUCUGGCCCUUGGGUCUUUGUGUGGCUAUUAAAAAGAUUUUAUCUUGACUUAAUGACCCCAUCCAUAUACCCUCCUGCCUUGAGCGAUGUGGAGUUCAGGUGAAAUGCUUUCUGGAGGUCUGCCUAAAACCAACUUGACAGUAAGGCAACCUUUCGGACCUCACGGACCACCAGUGGUCUGCGGACCACCGGUUGGCAACCGCUGGUCUAAAAGGAACAAAAAAAAAAAGUUGCCUCUUUGAGAACUCUUUAAUAGUAAUGUAAAGGGAAGGAAAGAAUUCUUGGUCACACCCUUGAGGGCUCAGUGACCUGAAGGCUGUGCCUGCUGGUGUAGUGCUGCCACCUUGUGGAAAUGAUGAUUUAGGACACUGUGUCCAUCAAGACCAGUUCCAAGACAGACAUUCCCUGGGAUGGAAGAGGGAGAGAUUACUUGGAAAGAAAUUUGCAAGGAUUUACAAGUCUUGCAUUCUCAGGUAGGGACAAGAGUUAUAACUGCUACAAGACUCCCUAAUUCUCCCCACAUCCUGGUAAAGGCUGGAAAAACCCGGUUAUGUAUAUUUUCCUAUACUUAUAAGAAUGUUUUCUUUUAUACUGUAUUAUAGGUAAAACCUCGAUCUCACAGACUAAUUCGGGUGAGGGGGUGUCCUUUAAAGCUGAAAGUCCAUUAUAUAAUAAAAGAGGUUUCCCACAUGCGUAUGUUAAAAAAUUGGCAAAUUAGUUUGCCUGUUUUUACUUAUGAAGACAGGCUUGUGUAAUUAAAUUUAAGUCUGUAGAAAAGUUUAAUUUCACAGAAGAGUUUUUUUAUAUGUAUUACUGCCGUGAAUAAACAAGGAAAAUCGGUCGUUUUCUUUUUUGUGCCUAUCUUCCUUUAUGUCAGACCCAACCACAAAAAAUCACACUUGCUUUUACAACUACAUCAGGCUCCAUGGAAUGAGUAUUCAUCUCAAGUAUGAAAUCUGGGCCAGCCUGACACCGCCCGUGUGGGCCAACUGCUGAUGGGAGUGCAGAGCUGAGGAUGGCUCAGGCUUGGAAAAGGACUCCCUGCUGUCAAAAUGAUUUGCAACAACUAUACUGAGGAAGAGGGGCACGCUAGCUAUCAGAGGAAAGUACGUUAAGAGAAAAAUCAACAAGCCUUAUAUGUAUUCUGCGACAAACAUAUUGCAAAAAUGGGAAACCCACAGGCUCGCACUGCCCUGGGCUCUCCAAAGGCCCACCAGGCACUGAGUCACUGUGUCUCCUUGCAGAAGGAGAGAUCCUAUUCUCCUUGGGAGCUUACCUUCUCUCUGCACCGAUUCUGUUUGCACAUUGGGAAAUCUGAAACUUCACUGCAAAAUGGGUACCUUUUCUCCCUUACACAAUAGAGGCCAUUCAUCUAUUCAUCCUUUCACUCAGUUAUGGAAUUAUUUAGUGACUCAUGUAAUGCCUACUCAGUAAUGGGACAGGUAUGUACUAUGUACUGGGAAGAAAGAGAUGACUACCCCUCAGUAUUGAGCAGAAGCAAAAUGGCCUGCUCACUCGUGGUAAACACCCAAUAAAUACUUGUUGAAUGAAUGAUAAUUCCUGCCCUCUGUAAUAAUCCUGGUCUAGUAGGGGAAGGAAACAUGUCAACAAAUAAAUUGUUUUAAUGAAAUAGUAGUCAAUCAAGUAUUAUAAAUAUAGAAGACUAUUUACCUGGAAGUUAGGGAUGGGUUUGAUAGAAGAGGUAACAUUUAUUUAAUUUUGAUGAAUAAAUAAGAAAUUUCCAGCAAAGUUAAAAAGGCAGUCUUUACAGGCAGACCAGAACUACUCACAGUUCCUAUUUUUUAGCAGGAUUACUUCCAUUCCGGUUUAGUCCUAUUUUGCUGACAUAAAUAUUAACAACUAUUUUGCUAGGUUUCAGUCUUUUGAGUUUAUUUUUACUUUUGUUCCCUAGGCAUUGGGAGGUCAGCAAAGUUAUAUGCAAAACAACUCUACAAAACAGAUUAUUUUUGACAGAGUGGAUGAAAUUAUUUAAAG
Pipistrellus kuhlii (Kuhl's pipistrelle) is the source of this 3393-nucleotide long non-coding RNA. RefSeq lists it as uncharacterized. The record is from RefSeq and is a predicted model, not a curated record. Lineage: Eukaryota; Metazoa; Chordata; Mammalia; Chiroptera; Vespertilionidae. The transcript has 3 exons.